This 158-nucleotide ribosomal RNA is filed under the name Lodderomyces orthopsilosis. Its description in RNAcentral is "Candida orthopsilosis 5.8S ribosomal RNA". It matches the Rfam family "5.8S ribosomal RNA". Rfam says of the family: 5.8S ribosomal RNA (5.8S rRNA) is a component of the large subunit of the eukaryotic ribosome. It is transcribed by RNA polymerase I as part of the 45S precursor that also contains 18S and 28S rRNA. The record is from RNAcentral. Lineage: Eukaryota; Fungi; Ascomycota; Pichiomycetes; Serinales; Debaryomycetaceae.
AACUUUCAACAACGGAUCUCUUGGUUUCUCGCAUCGAUGAAGAACGCAGCGAAAUGCGAUAAGUAAUAUGAAUUGCAGAUAUUCGUGAAUCAUCGAAUCUUUGAACGCACAUUGCGCCCUUUGGUAUUCCAAAGGGCAUGCCUGUUUGAGCGUCAUUU